RNAcentral lists this non-coding RNA (32 nucleotides) under Homo sapiens (human). Lineage: Eukaryota; Metazoa; Chordata; Mammalia; Primates; Hominidae. The record is from RNAcentral.
UAAGACACAAUGCUCCCUAGUGACUGGCGCCU